This 444-nucleotide ribosomal RNA is filed under the name uncultured organism. RNAcentral describes it as "bacterial SSU rRNA". It matches the Rfam family "Bacterial small subunit ribosomal RNA", at positions 338 to 796 of the family's 1533-position model. The record is from RNAcentral.
CCUACGGGGGGCAGCAGUGGGGAAUAUUGGACAAUGGGAGAAAUCCUGAUCCAGCAAUUCUGUGUGCAUGAUGACGGUCUUCGGAUUGUAAAGUGCUUUCGACAGGGAAGAAUAAAUUGACGGUACCUGUAUAAGAAGCGACGGCUAAAUACGUGCCAGCAGCCGCGGUAAUACGUAUGUCGCAAGCGUUAUCCGGAAUCACUGGGCAUAAAGGGCAUCUAGGCGGUUUGAAAAGUCAGUGGUGAAAGGUAUGGGCUCAACCCGUGCAUUGCCAUUGAAACUCUUAAACUAGAGUAUGGGAGAGGAGGGCGGAACUACAAGAGUAGCGGUGAAAUGCGUAGAUAUUUGUAGGAAUGCCAAUGACGAAGGUAGCUCUCUGGACCAAUACUGACGCUAAAGUGCGAAAGCUAGGGUAGCAAACAGGAUUAGAUACCCCGGUAGUCC